GAGGGGGUGCAUUCCUCAGAUAGGAGCCAGUUCAUGCUUUUAUAGUAUGAAAAUUCGGUGAUUUAUAAUAACUUAGCAAAUCGCAAAGUGAAAACAGGCGAUAAAUCAUUCAAGUUUCUGACCUAUCAGCUUUCGACGGUAUGGUAUUGGCUUACCGUGGCAGUGACGGUUAACGGGGGAUUAGGGUUCGAUUCCGGAGAGGGAGCCUGAGAAACGGCUACCACAUCUAAGGAAGGCAGCAGGCGCGCAAAUUACCCAAUUCUAACAGUUUGAGAGAGGUAGUAACAAGAAAUAACAAUACAAGGCAGUUAAAAUGCUUUGUAAUUGGAAUGAUAGAAAUUUAAACCCUUUUUAAAGUAUCAAUUGGAGGGCAAGUCUGGUGCCAGCAGCCGCGGUAAUUCCAGCUCCAAUAGCGUAUAUUAAAAUUGUUGCAGUUAAAAAGCUCGUAGUUGAAGUUCUGCUGAAAGUAACCGGUCUGCUUUUAAUAAAAGUGGUAUCUUGGUAUGUAUUUAGCAAUGAUGUCCUUUGAAGUGUUUUUUACUUUAUUGUAAUAAAGCAUAUUCAGGACUUUUACUUUGAGAAAAUUAGAGUGUUUCUAGCAGGCUAACGCUUUGAAUACUGCAGCAGAAAAAAAAAGGGGGAAGGGGAAAAAGGGAAAAAAGGGGGA
RNAcentral lists this ribosomal RNA (667 nucleotides) under Hepatozoon canis. RNAcentral's name for it is "partial 18S ribosomal RNA". It matches the Rfam family "Eukaryotic small subunit ribosomal RNA", at positions 195 to 889 of the family's 1831-position model. Lineage: Eukaryota; Apicomplexa; Hepatozoidae. The record is from RNAcentral.